GCUGGGUGCGGUGGUGCGCACCUGUAGUCCCAGCUACUUGGGAGGCUGAGGCAGGAUAAUCACUUGAACCCGGGAGGCAGAGGUUGCAGUGAGCCAAGACCACGCCACUGCACUCUAGCCUGGGUGACAGGGUGAGACUCUGUCUCAA
Molecule: signal recognition particle RNA, 148 nt
Filed under: Homo sapiens (human)
Lineage: Eukaryota; Metazoa; Chordata; Mammalia; Primates; Hominidae
Description: Metazoan signal recognition particle RNA
Rfam family: Metazoan signal recognition particle RNA
About the family: The signal recognition particle (SRP) is a universally conserved ribonucleoprotein. It is involved in the co-translational targeting of proteins to membranes. The eukaryotic SRP consists of a 300-nucleotide 7S RNA and six proteins: SRPs 72, 68, 54, 19, 14, and 9.
Source: Rfam by way of RNAcentral